This 481-nucleotide ribosomal RNA is filed under the name uncultured bacterium. RNAcentral describes it as "partial 16S ribosomal RNA". It matches the Rfam family "Bacterial small subunit ribosomal RNA", at positions 28 to 523 of the family's 1533-position model. The record is from RNAcentral.
GACGAACGCUGGCGGCGUGCUUAACACAUGCAAGUCGAGCGGUAAGGCCUCUUCGGGGGUACACGAGCGGCGAACGGGUGAGUAACACGUGAGUAAUCUGCCCUUCACUUCGGGAUAAGCUUCGGAAACGGGGUCUAAUACCGGAUACGACACUUUCAGGCAUCUGAUGAGUGUGGGAAGUUUUUUCGGUGGGGGAUGUGCUCGCGGCCUAUCAGCUUGUUGGUGGGGUAAUGGCCUACCAAGGCUUCGACGGGUAGCCGGCCUGAGAGGGUGACAGGCCACACUGGGACGGGGGCACGGCCCAACCUCCUACGGGAGGCAGCAGUGGGGAAUAUUGGACAAUGGGCGGAAGCCUGAUCCAGCAACGCCGCGUGAGGGAUGACGGCCUUCGGGUUGUAAACCUCUUUCAGUACCGACGAAGCGAGAGUGACGGUAGGUACAGAAGAAGCACCGGCCAACUACGUGCCAGCAGCCGCCGCAG